Molecule: transfer-messenger RNA, 399 nt
Filed under: Mesonia mobilis
Lineage: Bacteria; Pseudomonadati; Bacteroidota; Flavobacteriia; Flavobacteriales; Flavobacteriaceae
Also listed under: 1 other name
Description: Standard tmRNA
Rfam family: transfer-messenger RNA
About the family: Bacterial tmRNA, also known as 10Sa RNA or SsrA, is named for its dual tRNA and mRNA-like properties. Its role is to liberate the mRNA from a stalled ribosome.
Source: RNAcentral
GGGGUCGACUGGUUUUGACAGCGAGUCUAAUUGAGUUGUAAGCACGUCGAGCGCUGGGAUAUAGCUCGUAAAUCUCAUGUUUCACACUUUUUUAAACGGCGAAAAUAAUUACGCCUUAGCUGCGUAAUCUGAACUAUAGUAAGAUUACCUUAACCUAUGUAAGACAUAGGGCUAAGAUGUCUCUGGAAAGCCUUGAUUUAUGGCGUUCCACCAAGAGGCACCGAUAAAAUAAAUCUAGGUAGCUUGACACCUUUAAGAGCUAUUGAAAUUUUAAAGGUUACGGAAAAAUUGGGAGGUUUUCUGCCAGAUUUUUCCCGACAAUUAAAGUGAAAAAUAAACGUGUAGAAAGCAGCUGAAUUGCUUGUUUGGACGGGAGUUCGAAUCUCCCCGACUCCACAA